RNAcentral lists this ribosomal RNA (395 nucleotides) under Stramenopiles sp. MAST-3D. RNAcentral describes it as "partial small subunit ribosomal RNA". It matches the Rfam family "Eukaryotic small subunit ribosomal RNA", at positions 582 to 975 of the family's 1831-position model. The record is from RNAcentral.
AUUCCAGCUCCAAUAGCGUAUAUUAAAGUUGUUGCAGUUAAAAAGCUCGUAGUUGGAUUUCUGGGCUGAGCGACCGGUCCGCCGCUGUGCGGUGUGUACUCGUGUUCGACUCGGCUCAUCCUUGUGGGGAAACGCAUUUCGGCAUUAGGUUGUCGAGGCGGGGAACCGCAUCGUUUACUGUGAAAAAAUUAGAGUGUUUAAAGCAGGCAAAUUGCUGUGAAUACAUUAGCAUGGAAUAAUAACAUAGGACUUUGGUUCUAUUUUGUUGGUUGGAGGCCAAGGUAAUGAUUAAUAGGGAUAGUUGGGGGUAUUCAUAUUUAAUUGUCAGAGGUGAAAUUCUUGGAUUUAUGAAAGAUGAACUCAUGCGAAAGCAUUUACCAAGAAUGUUUUCAUCG